This 589-nucleotide long non-coding RNA is filed under the name Anser brachyrhynchus (Pink-footed goose). Its description in RNAcentral is "lncRNA (ENSABRG00000018019.1)". The record is from RNAcentral. Lineage: Eukaryota; Metazoa; Chordata; Aves; Anseriformes; Anatidae.
GUUUCCCUGCUUGAACAACGACACUUUUCUUGCUGUGAGGCAUUCGAGACCUACCAAGAAAAACACUUCAGUCGAAGGCUAGGUACUAAGCCUUUCAGGCAGGCUAAUAAACAGACGCAGAUCAAGAGACUUGCUUGACAGACACGUAAAGCACACUUGCUUAGGAAAGCCAUGGCGCAUGGUGGCUUUCCAUGGACUCGUGCAUGCUGAGCUUUGAUUUGGCAUGCAAACCCAGGAAUGAUGGAGUUUCAGUCCACGUGAGGACUAACAGAUACUUUCUCUACAAAGAGGUCAACGUGACUUUGACUUAGCUGAUGCUCUUGAUCACCCGGAUGACAUAAUUACCAGGAAGCCAACAGUGAUCAGAAGACCAACACGGCCUCUGCUGAACAAUGAUCUGCAUUUAGGAGAUGCUUUUGGUGGAGGUGACAUCCCAAGACAACCUUUAUACCCACCUCUUCCACCACGACCAGGAAGCCACAGUAAUUCUGGAGGUUUUAAUGACUUAGAUCUCGUCGACGGGAAGCCCUUACCACCGCACAUAGCAGAUAAUAUUCUUCUUCAGAAAUGAAGUGGCUGGAGGAGGGGA